This is a long non-coding RNA of Portunus trituberculatus (swimming crab), 1066 nucleotides long. RefSeq lists it as uncharacterized. The record is from RefSeq and is a predicted model, not a curated record. The transcript has 2 exons. Lineage: Eukaryota; Metazoa; Arthropoda; Malacostraca; Decapoda; Portunidae.
GGUGAAGGCAUUAUAUAUAUUCCGUGUUAAGCAUCUCUUCAUUGCAUCGUGUCGCACUGCCUGACUGACUGAGAGUUAUUCUGGUAGACUCUGUAGCACCAUGGGCUGGAAGUGGCAGAUGGUGGCGAUGGUGGCGGUGGUGCUGGCAGUGGUGGUGGAGCAGGGGAUGGUGGAGGCAAGGAAUACGAGAAGUCUCCUCGAUGACCAGCCUCCUCAUCCUCCCUAUUAUAUUAAUGACGCACUACCAACCUCAUAUAAAGUAAGCGGAGUAAAGGGACGUCAAGCCAGAAGUCUCGAAAGCGUCUUAGAGACCGUCUUGCACGGCUUAGAUGCCGCCAAGGAAGUACUGACGGAAUUCAUUACUGUCGUCCGAGAAAUAGUAAAGAAUAAACAAUAGAAAACACAUUUAAUUCAAACCAAUCACAAGACAGUAAAUAUCGUGAACACUGUCACCAGAAAAUAAAAGAGUAACAUUAAUAGCAUUGAUCUGUCCACUGUUGCCAAGCCAAGAGCUGGACCGCGUCACCCUAACCACCAAUGUGACCACCUGACGCCAAGCUUCGUCUACACCACCUACAUGUAUGUGCUGCUUGAGGAGCGCCUUCAAGUUAUUGCCUGACUCUCAUUCCUUCCAUGCCUCCCGCUGGUUAACUCUGAAAUUCUCGAUAUGUUUCUGAUUUCAUUCCUUUCUACGACUUGCUGUGUUUCAUAAGAGGAAGAAUAUCAAGACUCCUCUUGGAAUACAUUUCUUUAACGAAAUCUUGAGAAUGCUAUAUUAAUUACCUUUUUAUUUUUUGUGCUUUUGACCAGACUCUCAACACAUAAAGAAAAAAAGAAUACUAAAAAAUAUGACGAGAUACUUAAUAUUGUCUCUCGAUUGUUUCUUGAAUGUGAUUGGUGUGUGCCGCCUCAACACUCUACAAGCAAUCUUGUGACUGUGCGUCGGGAUUGUCAUGUAUCUACUCCACAAGUGAUGAGGCUGUUCAGACACACUUGUGGGUCUAUCCAGUGUGUAAUAACUAACGAUAGAUUUGAAAGCACAGGCAAAUAAAUGGAUAAAAGUUAA